ACAAUAAAAAAAAUCCAGACUGGACUUUGCUUCUCGCCUUUGCCUUCCUCCUCUUCCCCUCUCCAGUCAAGCGCUCAGUUUUCCAGCGAGGGAGAGGGCGCGCCAUGGCGGAGCUCUCGCCGAUGAGGGAGGUGGUAUCGAUGCACCCGCUGCUUCACCUCGACGGCGGCGAGAGGGAGGCGGUGUUCGCGGCAGGAGACCAGACGUACGGCGAGUUCCGCCUGACGCUCCUGUGGUACAAAGAGAAGUCAUUACUUUGCUCAAAGCAGACUUAAUGCCUCCCAGGGCUGUCAAGGGAGUCUUGCGGAAGCGAGACGAUAUGGAUACCCAGCUUGCAGAGUGCCGAGCUCACCAAGCAGGACUUGAGCAGUCCAUUGUUGAGACCAACGGGGCGCUUCGAGACGCUGACCGGCAGCAGGCCGCGGCGCUGGUUCAGCGCAGGCUCGACAUGCAGGCGUCCCUCAAGUACCAGGACCACGAGGAGUUCACGCUGGUGAGGGAGCUCCAAAAGAUGGCUAUUCUCGUUGACAAGUACUACAACGAGAUGUUGGCACUUACCACGUCUGAGCACUGACGGGCUACGGUUAAGUGAGCAAGAGCAAAUAGCAACAUUAGAGGUAGAAUAUCUAUUUGAAUUUUCUUUCAGCAAGACGAAGUGACAAGCUACGGUUGAGUGAGCAAGAGCAAAUAGCAGCAUCAGAGCAAGACGGAGUUCAGGAUCAUCUUUUUUAUCAGCAAGACGCACUUUUUUGGGUACUGUUGCUGUGGUGCGAUGUCUCUGGGUACUGUUGUGGAUGAUACUCUGACUCUUGCUGUGGUGCGAUAUGUCUCGGAUGGGAUGAUACUCUGACUCGGAUCUAUUGCUGUGGGUGGUGCAUUACGGAUACUCUGGGCCUGUUUGGCACAGCUCUAGCUCCAGCUCCACCCCUCCUGGAGCUGGAGCUCAGCCAAACAGUUUCAGCUCCACCAAAACUGGGAGUGGAGUUGGGUGGAGCUCUCUCACAAAAUGUACUAGAGUUGUGGAGCUGGGUUUAGGCAGCUCCACAACUUCACUCCAGACUCAACUCCUAGAGUUAUAUUUAGGAGUUGGAGCUGUACCAAACAGGCCCUCUGACUCGACAUGUUGUCGCGGUGCUGUAGUGGUGCAUUACGGAAUACGGAUAUACUCGUAGUUUCGACCUUGAUUGCCGUAGUGCUGCUACUAGUCAGUCCGGUUUCCAGCUGUUAAUACAGUGGGCGUUCUUUUCAUACAACCUGAAGAAAAGCACGGCUGGUCCACUAAUUUUGAUCGAUUUUUUAUGCAACCCCUUUUGAUUGAUUUUGGGAUA
Oryza sativa Japonica Group (Japanese rice) is the source of this 1328-nucleotide non-coding RNA. The record is from RefSeq and is a predicted model, not a curated record. Lineage: Eukaryota; Viridiplantae; Streptophyta; Magnoliopsida; Poales; Poaceae.